UGCGCUGGCCGGACCAUCGCGCCGUCCGCCUGCAGCGCGACGGUGAGGAAAGUCCGAACACCACAGGGCACCCCGCCUCCUAACCGGAGGGCGUCCUUUGGGCAACCAAAGGGCGACGGCAAGUGCCACAGAGAGUAGACCGGCCGAUGGUCUCGCUGUGCGGCGAGACGCAGGCAAAGGGUGAAAGGGUGGGGUAAGAGCCCACCAGCGUCGCUGGUAACAGCGGCGGCUAGGUAAACCCCGGGGGGUGCAAGGCCAAGCAGCGCCGCACCGCCCUUAGGGCGGAUAAGGUGGCCCGCUGAAAGGCGUCCACUUAGGACGCGGCGGCGCGGGUAGGCCGCUUGAGGCUGCCGGUGACGGCAGUCCCAGAUAAAUGAUGGUCUCCCCGAGCGAUGUGGCGGCCGUUGCUCGGGUAGACAGAAUUCGGCUUACAGGCCAGCGCAUGCC
This 447-nucleotide RNase P RNA is filed under the name Rhodothermus marinus. RNAcentral describes it as "RNase P RNA component class A". It matches the Rfam family "Bacterial RNase P class A". From Rfam's summary of the family: Ribonuclease P (RNase P) is a ubiquitous endoribonuclease, found in archaea, bacteria and eukarya as well as chloroplasts and mitochondria. Its best characterised activity is the generation of mature 5'-ends of tRNAs by cleaving the 5'-leader elements of precursor-tRNAs. Lineage: Bacteria; Pseudomonadati; Rhodothermota; Rhodothermia; Rhodothermales; Rhodothermaceae. The record is from RNAcentral.